Molecule: non-coding RNA, 26 nt
Filed under: Homo sapiens (human)
Lineage: Eukaryota; Metazoa; Chordata; Mammalia; Primates; Hominidae
Source: RNAcentral
UCCUAGCGCAGCAGAGCCUGCCCCGC